This 1470-nucleotide ribosomal RNA is filed under the name metagenome. RNAcentral describes it as "bacterial SSU rRNA". It matches the Rfam family "Bacterial small subunit ribosomal RNA". The record is from RNAcentral.
AGAGUUUGAUCAUGGCUCAGGACGAACGCUGGCGGCACGCUUAACACAUGCAAGUCGAACGAGAGAAGAGGAGCUUGCUUUUCUGAUCUAGUGGCGGACGGGUGAGUAACACGUGAGCAAUCUGCCUUUCAGAGGGGGAUACCGAUUGGAAACGAUCGUUAAUACCGCAUAACAUAAUUGAACCGCGUGAUUUGAUUAUCAAAGAUUUAUCGCUGAAAGAUGAGCUCGCGUCUGAUUAGCUAGUUGGUAAGGUAACGGCUUACCAAGGCGACGAUCAGUAGCCGGACUGAGAGGUUGAUCGGCCACAUUGGGACUGAGACACGGCCCAGACUCCUACGGGAGGCAGCAGUGGGGAAUAUUGCACAAUGGAGGGAACUCUGAUGCAGCGAUGCCGCGUGAGGGAAGAAGGUUUUAGGAUUGUAAACCUCUGUCUUCAGGGACGAAAAAAGACGGUACCUGAGGAGGAAGCUCCGGCUAACUACGUGCCAGCAGCCGCGGUAAUACGUAGGGAGCGAGCGUUGUCCGGAAUUACUGGGUGUAAAGGGAGCGUAGGCGGGAUCGCAAGUCAGAUGUGAAAACUAUGGGCUUAACCCAUAAACUGCAUUUGAAACUGUGGUUCUUGAGUGAAGUAGAGGUAAGCGGAAUUCCUAGUGUAGCGGUGAAAUGCGUAGAUAUUAGGAGGAACAUCAGUGGCGAAGGCGGCUUACUGGGCUUUAACUGACGCUGAGGCUCGAAAGCGUGGGGAGCAAACAGGAUUAGAUACCCUGGUAGUCCACGCCGUAAACGAUGAUUACUAGGUGUGGGGGGACUGACCCCUUCCGUGCCGCAGCAAACGCAAUAAGUAAUCCACCUGGGGAGUACGACCGCAAGGUUGAAACUCAAAGGAAUUGACGGGGGCCCGCACAAGCAGUGGAGUAUGUGGAUUAAUUCGAAGCAACGCGAAGAACCUUACCAGGUCUUGACAUCGUAUGCAUAGCUCAGAGAUGAGUGAAAUCUCUUCGGAGACAUAUAGACAGGUGGUGCAUGGUUGUCGUCAGCUCGUGUCGUGAGAUGUUGGGUUAAGUCCCGCAACGAGCGCAACCCCUACUGUUAGUUGCUACGCAAGAGCACUCUAGCAGGACUGCCGUUGACAAAACGGAGGAAGGUGGGGAUGACGUCAAAUCAUCAUGCCCCUUAUGACCUGGGCCUCGCACGUACUACAAUGGCUGUCAACAGAGGGAAGCAAAGCCGCGAGGUGGAGCGAACCCCUAAAAGCAGUCUUAGUUCGGAUUGUAGGCUGCAACCCGCCUACAUGAAGUCGGAAUUGCUAGUAAUCGCAGAUCAGCAUGCUGCGGUGAAUACGUUCCCGGGCCUUGUACACGCCGCCCGUCACGCCAUGGGAGUCGGUAACACCCGAAGCCUGUAGUCUAACCGCAAGGAGGACGCAGACGAAGGUGGGAUUGAUGACUGGGGUGAAGUCGUAACAAGGUA